UCAAAGCAUUAGGAAACAUACUUUUUAUACUCAUAGGAAUUAUCAGUCAUAGAAUCAACAAUAAUUACUUUAUUCUUUUCUUUAAAAAGGGCAUUUGUAGAAAUACCAACAUAGCUUCAUGAUCAUAUACGUCCAGAAUAUGAAUAAUGUACACUACUUGUAUUUGUGUCUUCAAAAACAUAACUAAAACUUCUUCCUUUUUCGGUUGGAUUAGAAGAUAUUCCUAAACUUGUCUCUAAACCGCUAGAUUGACUAAUACCAAUUGAAGAAGAUACACUUGGUCUACCACUACCUUCAACUCAUGUCUCUACUCCUAAAACAACUCUAUUAGGUAAAGUACUAUCAAAUAAAACUCUUUCCACUCUUGCUUCAGCAACCCCUCUUCAAAAUACUUCAUCACUACUUCAAAAAUAGUCUCUCGCUCAAACCCUACCAUCAUGAGAAGUUUUAUAAUCAUUUCCAUCUACAUGUUUCUCACCCUUUUGUAUUCAAAUCAUUUCUGUUUUCUUACCAAAAAAUGCAUUUGCCUCUUUCUUAUUAACUGUAGAUGCUAUUAUUGCACUUGGCACAACAAUCACAGUUGA
Molecule: non-coding RNA, 584 nt
Filed under: Mycoplasmoides gallisepticum S6
Lineage: Bacteria; Bacillati; Mycoplasmatota; Mycoplasmoidales; Mycoplasmoidaceae
Source: RNAcentral